ACUGUGAGCUUUCUCUCUUCCCUCCUCACAGUGGAAUUGCUCAUUCUCAUGAGAAUUUAUUAAUAAAUAACUUUUCUGCUUUCUACUGAGUGAUCUCUGAGUAGUCAUUUUGGGUAAGAGUCUUCUACAUCCCUCACAGUUGGGGGCUUGUCCGGGAUGGGGUCUUUGGGGGAGACAGCUAAGUGCACCCUGAACAGGGACAGGUGCCCACGGCGUAGUUUUCUCCAUGGUCUCUGUCUCUGGGUGAGCAGCCUCCCUCCCCUCUUAGACAAUGACCCAAGGCAGAGAUACUCAGUGGAACACAGAAUUGAAAACUGAAGGAAGUAGAGUCCUGAUGGCUGGCAGCAGUCUGAAAAGAAACACAUGUUCUCAAGUGGUUUUCAGGAAGGGGGAGAGAAGAAGAAGAAAAAAUAAAAACAGAUUAAAAGUUUGGAAAGUUUUGAGAAAAAAGAAGAACAGUGGCUAUCACUCCUGUAAACAAGGAGCCUGUUAUCACAAGCCAGAAAAAAAAAAUCAAGGUAAAGCAAAGAUUGAUCCGUAACUCUUUCCUGGCUUACUAAAGAAAUGAAGUUUGCAUGGAAUAUCUAGAUAGAUUUUAGGAAAUUUCACAAACUAAAGUACUAGUUAAUUUUAAAAUUGCUAUAUGUGUUAAGAUUGGAAACUUAAGAUUGGAAAUAGGAAACUGCAAAUAUUGGAAGGGAGGAAUAAAAAUAGAGUAAGAGCGCUAACUAGUUGAAUACGGGGACUCUCUGACCUAUUGGCUCUGUGGGAAAACUAGGCAUACUUCUAAAAAAUAAUUUUGUGUGUGUGUCCCAAAAGAAGACCAUUAAUAGCAAGUUUGCUCUCAUGGAAUUAGAACACAGAAAGUUUAAAAAGGCUAAACUGGAUUUUGGUCACAUUACAGCUAUAUUGACCUGCUUUUGGGACCUGGAUUGGCCCAUCUGAAGCUUAGAUUGACACCACAUCCACACCUCUGCAUGGAUUGAGAGCCUUUGCCCAUUUCUCAGCCCGAAGCAGCUAAGAUUGACCAUCAUCCAUGCUCCUGAUGUAAUUUGGACUGAUAUGGGGGAAGUGGGAAAGUGGUUGAUGAAUUAUUGUUAAAAUUACAACUGUAUUACUGUGUGUUUAAAAUUUGGAAAUUGUUAAAAUUGUGUGUUGGAAAUUGUUAAAAUUGAUUAAACUUAAACUUAACUUAUUAAAAUGGAUAAAACUGUUACUGUUAGGGAAGUUAUAUUAUGUUUAUAAUAUCUAUGUUUACUUCAGAAUAUGUAAUUGAGAGAUUUUUUUUUUUUGAGGAAACUCCUCCUGUACUAGUCUGUUAUGUAUAGGAACUUUAAGUCAUUCUUGGGAUUUAUAUGUGGAUGGUUAUUUGACGAUUUACUUUUUUUUUUGGGGGGGGGGAUGAUUCCUUUCCAUGAGAAAAAAAAAAAGAGAGGAAGAGAUAAAGGGAAACUGGUGGAUUUUUCUCAAAAUACCUAAAAGAGUGGGAACCUUUAGUUUUCUGUUCACUUUGCCUUAGGUACUUCUACCCCACCCCCUAUACCACCAGUUCAAAUUGAAUUGGAAGUCCUUAAGCAGUCCUUUUUGUUAUUCCUAUGCUUUAGCUUUGAAACCUCUUAUUCUGUGGAAUUGCUCUGGCAGACUCAGUUUUGGGGACUAUUUUGUUUUUAGGAAACCUCCAAGAUAUAGACACGUGUCUUGGGACUGGCAGUCUCCAGCCUUGUAAGCCCAAUUUCUUAAUUGGUAUCUUAGCAUUUUCAAUAACAUUGCAGUUUUGAGAUCAAGCCUCUAAAAAAUUUGGGGUUUGCCUGCCUUGUUGGUCUACCUGUGCAUGCUCUGAUAGCUCUGCUCAGAAAUCUACAUUCUAGUAGCAGCCCUGUGUGUUCCUCUGAGUGGGGACAGAUGAAGCUACUCCAAGCCUCACCCUUCUCCCCUGGAGUGGGUUGCCCCUCUGAAUGGGCAGCAUGACUGUCUUGAGCACUGCUACUCCCUAUAUAAGCAGAAGCUGAGUUAAGUGCACAGAUGACUGAAGACCACCUAACACAGUGAACCAUCCAUCUCAAACUUGAUUCUCUGGCUGAGAUGAGGGCCUUUGUACUGCUGAUAACUCUGGGCUUGUCAGGAAGAGAUUUGCCUUUAUCAUAAGUCCUUGCAUUUUCUAGUUUUGUUUUGAUAUAUUUGCUUCACAUUGGGUUGGGCAAAAUUAUAGUACUGAGACCUCCCAGAUAUCUAGGAGAGGUAAUUCAAUAAUUCAAAUAUUCAGGGGAGUGUAUAAUGUUGUCCCUCAGUUUCCCUAGGUUGUCAUCUUUGAUUUAUCUUUGUAUUUUUAUGUCUGACAAAUGCCAAUCUGUUCUGUGAUAACUAUUUCUAAGAUAGUGGGUUGAAGCAAUGUUUAUAGUAUAAACUUAUUGCAAUUGAUGGUAUUAGCCUGUUGCCACUAUGUCUACCCUGUAUAAUUAUUUAGUAAACAGAAUAGUUCAAUGGUCCCUAACAAAAUAUUGCAUACAGAAGAUUUUAUUAAAAUGAUGAUUCUUCAGAGAAAAGACUAGAAUGUAUCAGAGAGGGAUGAUAUUAAUGGGGAACUUGAUAAGCAACGUAUAGAUAUGAUAACUGAUUUUGAGUACUAUGUAAGUUCUUCAUAGAAAUAUGAUAAAAAUCAUUAACAUAUUAGAAGGGGGAAAGUUGUGUGGAAUGGAGAGAUAAAGUGAAGAACUUACAGGAAUAUUUAAAUUCUUUUUCUGUAUUUUUUAUUAUUUCUAUGUCUCUGUGACCUGCAUAAGUACAUUGUGUGCAAACCAAUAUUUACUUAACCAGAAUUGAUGACAUUUAUCCUUGCUCAAUGUUAUCAAUAUUUAGAUUAUUGAAUGCCGCCAGCUCAGUAAUCUGAAGUUUGAAGGUCGGACUGAUGAUUCCUCUCAGAAUCAGGGGAACAAACUAUUCCAUUCUAAUCUGCCUUUGGCACCAAUGUUUAACAUUCAAUUAGGGGAGAGGGCACCUAUUUCUCAAUGCUCCCCAACCUAUGAUGUAAUCCUUUGUAACCAAACCUAUUAAAAAUGUAUAUCUUUCCUAAAUCUUGAGCUCUUCUACUGCGAGCUUUCUCUUUCCCUCCUCACAGUGGAAUUGCUCAUUCUCAUGAGAAUUUAUUAAUAAAUAACUUUUCUGCUUUC
RNAcentral lists this long non-coding RNA (3167 nucleotides) under Sarcophilus harrisii (Tasmanian devil). RNAcentral's name for it is "lncRNA (ENSSHAG00000029543.1)". Lineage: Eukaryota; Metazoa; Chordata; Mammalia; Dasyuromorphia; Dasyuridae. The record is from RNAcentral.